GGGCAAUUAGCUCAGUGGCAGAGCACUUGUAUCACACACAAGGGGUCACUGGUUCGAAUCCAGUAUUGCCCACCA
Molecule: transfer RNA, 75 nt
Filed under: Patescibacteria group bacterium
Lineage: Bacteria
Description: tRNA-Val
Rfam family: tRNA
About the family: Transfer RNA (tRNA) molecules are approximately 80 nucleotides in length.
Source: RNAcentral